This 495-nucleotide ribosomal RNA is filed under the name uncultured bacterium. Its description in RNAcentral is "partial 16S ribosomal RNA". It matches the Rfam family "Bacterial small subunit ribosomal RNA", at positions 29 to 507 of the family's 1533-position model. The record is from RNAcentral.
AUGAACGCUGGCGGCGUGCCUAAUACAUGCCAGUCGAGAGAACAGAUGAGGAGCUUGCUCCUCUGACGUUAGCGGCGGACGGGUGAGUAACACGUGGAUAACCUACCUAUAAGACUGGGAUAACUUCGGGAAACCGGAGCUAAUACCGGAUAAUAUAUUGAACCGCAUGGUUCAAUAGUGAAAGACGGUUUUGCUGUCACUUAUAGAUGGAUCCGCGCCGCAUUAGCUAGUUGGUAGGUAACGGCUUACCAAGGCAACGAUGCGUAGCCGACCUGAGAGGGUGAUCGGCCACACUGGAACUGAGACACGGUCCAGACUCCUACGGGAGGCAGCAGUAGGGAAUCUUCCGCAAUGGGCGAAAGCCUGACGGAGCAACGCCGCGUGAGUGAUGAAGGUCUUCGGAUCGUAAAACUCUGUUAUUAGGGAAGAACAAAUGUGUAAGUAACUAUGCACGUCUUGACGGUACCUAAUCAGAAAGCCACGGCUAACUACGUG